ACCUUCGGGUGUGUAUAAAGUGGCGAACGGCUGAGUAACACGUGGGCAACCUGCCCCUCUCAUUGGGAUAGCCACGGGAAACCGUGGAUAAUACCGAAUACUUCGGGACUUCCGCAUGGAAGACUCGAGAAAGCUCCGGCGGAGAGGGAUGGGCCCGCGGCCUGUUAGCUUGUUGGUGGGGUAACGGCCUACCAAGGCAAUGAUGGGUAGCUGGGUUGAGAGACCGACCAGCCAGAUUGGGACUGAGACACGGCCCAGACUCCUACGGGAGGCAGCAGUGGGGAAUCUUGCACAAUGGGCGAAAGCCUGAUGCAGCGACGCCGCGUGCGGGAUGAAGGCCUUCGGGUUGUAAACCGCUUUCAGCAGGGACGAGGCGAAAGUGACGGUACCUGCAGAAGAAGCCCCGGCUAACUACGUGCCAGCAGCCGCGGUAAUACGUAGGGGGCAAGCGUUAUCCGGACUCAUUGGGCGUAAAGCGCUCGUAGGCGGUCUGUUAGGUCGGGAGUUAAAUCCGGGGGCUCAACCCCCGUUCGCUCCCGAUACCGGCAGACUUGAGUUUGGUAGGGGAAGGUGGAAUUCCUAGUGUAGCGGUGGAAUGCGCAGAUAUUAGGAAGAACACCAGUGGCGAAGGCGGCCUUCUGGGCCAUAACUGACGCUGAGGAGCGAAAGCUAGGGGAGCAAACAGGAUUAGAUACCCUGGUAGUCCUAGCCGUAAACGAUGGACACUAGGUGUGGGGGAAUAUUUCUUCCGCGCCGCAGCUAA
Molecule: ribosomal RNA, 763 nt
Filed under: uncultured Atopobium sp.
Lineage: Bacteria; Bacillati; Actinomycetota; Coriobacteriia; Coriobacteriales; Atopobiaceae
Description: bacterial SSU rRNA
Rfam family: Bacterial small subunit ribosomal RNA
Source: RNAcentral